CUAUCUCCUUCAUUCUUCAAAUCUUCUUAGAAGAUUAUGUAGAAAUCAAAGCAGGAUAUUUUUGGUUAGUUUGUUUGUUAGUUCCUUCAAUGAGUUUGCCAAUGACGGCUCAUUUAUCUUGAUUCAUCUUGAUGUGGUGAUUCUGGUUGUAGUUCAUAUUCUGGAAUUUGUUCCUCUUCAUUUCUGACUUCACUAUUCACAACAGCUGAACAAAGGAAAAAGAACGAUGAUGUGUAUAUCGUCAUGUGCCAGAGACUGCAUCAACAUGAAACAAGAAACAUCAUCAGGUAAAUAACAUUAUCAAAAUCAGAAUCAGAAUUGAAAAUCAAAUAAAAUACCUCCAUCUAUAUUAGUAUAUAAAAAUAUUACCUGUGCCAAAUCCAAUAAUUGUCUCUGUUUUCAAGGCUCCAACAAGUAGCUGCAGCAGCUAAUGCAACAAACCCUAGUAGAGUAAAAUACCACAAAAAUCUUCGUAGGAAAAAGAUUGCAAUGCAUCUUGGC
This 501-nucleotide long non-coding RNA is filed under the name Zostera marina. RNAcentral's name for it is "long non-coding RNA (ZMAR_LNC003448)". The record is from RNAcentral. Lineage: Eukaryota; Viridiplantae; Streptophyta; Magnoliopsida; Alismatales; Zosteraceae.